GAGUACGCCUUCACAUUCGUACCUCCUUGAUCGCCGUUCAAUUCCGCCACUGUCAAUCUCAGCUGUAUAGUCUGAAAGGAGUGUGUUCCGUUACAACGAUUUGUGUGAAAUUUUGACGAGAGGAAAAGGGAGAAAGAGAGAGAACGAGUAAAAAGUUAUCAAAACCUGUAAAGCGUGCGCCGGUACGCUGAAUAUUAUCGCCUCAUUGAAGAUUGGACUUUUCUCGCCUUUUUUCACAGAAGUCUUCUUUUUGUGCAUCUUCUUCCCUUGUUGAAAUGAAAAGGAAUGUCUAUACGUUACCUUGACGAAGAAAUCACCCGGACUAGAAUUCGCGCCGCGCAAAUUGCGGGCUUUGACUACUACGAGAGUGAGUCUCUCCGCCGUUGGCAAAUAACUCAGAGAGAACAUUAGCUCUCCUAGAUGCGGAGUGGGUGAGGCAGGUCCACUGAGUGCCAGCCAAGUCGUUGCUGGCGGUCUCGCCGCGGGCCCGAGCUUCAAGCUGGCUUCGCCGAUUAAGGACGCACCGCCGCCGAUGUUGGACUCGUCAGAAAAUACCUGGGCGAUGAAAGGGAUAAUCACGUGAAUUUUGACGGGACAGAAUACGAAAGCACCUCGACAAAGAGUGUUCUGCCUGCUGGGCCACCAUCGAGAGGGAAUAGGAAUUUCUCCUGAUAACUAGGCGAUGGACAUCCUCUAUAAAUUCUUGUUUGCACGUGCGUCUGUCUAUCGGGUAACAGACACACCCUACGAAAAAAAAAACAAUCUUUCAAUAUUUUUAUUUAUAAAAGUAGGUUAUCAAUUAAUGUAUUGAUAAAAUUUGUGCACAAUAUGUUAAA
This is a long non-coding RNA of Odontomachus brunneus, 836 nucleotides long. RefSeq lists it as uncharacterized. The record is from RefSeq and is a predicted model, not a curated record. The transcript has 4 exons. NCBI's taxonomy places the organism in Eukaryota, Metazoa, Arthropoda, Insecta, Hymenoptera, Formicidae.